GUGCCAGCGCUGCGUUAUUUGGUUGGUGCCUGCGGACGGGCCCGCGGGCUUUUCGCCGGUGGCUCCCCUGGGGCGUGCGGGUUCGCGUCUGGGAGGCCAAGACCGCUGUGUGGAGGUAGCCGCAGCGCCAGCACCAGAAGAAACAGUUUGUGUGAAGGCUGUAAGGCUUGGAGAGGUUUUGGCUAUUUUGACGACUAGAAGGUGGGCCAUAUGAGUGUGACUGAAGUUUAGUGGAAGACAUAUGGUGUGGAAUGACCCAGAAGGACUACAUCACAGCAAGCUCAUUUGAUAUAGUCAUCGUUGGUGGCGGAAUUGUGGGGCUUGCCUCUGCCAGAGCACUCAUCCUGCGACAUCCAUCACUUUCUAUUGGUGUUCUGGAAAAGGAGAAAGAUUUAGCUGUUCACCAGACUGGACAUAACAGUGGUGUCAUACAUAGUGGAAUUUAUUAUAAACCUGAGUCUCUGAAAGCCAAAUUAUGUGUACAAGGUGCAGCCCUCCUCUAUGAGUACUGUCAGCAAAAGGGAAUUUCCUACAAGCAGUGUGGCAAG
This 548-nucleotide long non-coding RNA is filed under the name Homo sapiens (human). RNAcentral's name for it is "non-protein coding lnc-CDKL1-2:1". Lineage: Eukaryota; Metazoa; Chordata; Mammalia; Primates; Hominidae. The record is from RNAcentral.